AGUGAACGCUGGCGGCGUGCUUAACACAUGCAAGUCGAACGAGAACGGAUUAUAGCUUGCUAUAAUUGUCAGCUAAGUGGCGCACGGGUGAGUAAUGUAUAGGUAAUAUGCCUCUUACUAAGGGAUAACAAAUGGAAACGUUUGCUCAUACCUUAUACUCCUUAUUAACAUAAGUUAAUAAGGGAAAGAUUUAUUGGUAAGAGAUUAGCCUGUAUUUUAUCAGUUAGUUGGUGGGGUAAUGGCUUACCAAGACUAUGACACAUAACUGGUUUGGGGGGAUGACCAGUAACACUGGAACUGAGACACGGACCAGACCACUACGGGAGGCUGCAGUCUGGAAUCUUCCACAAUGCACGAAAGUGUGAUGGAGCGACGCCGCGUGCCGAAAGAAGGCCUUCGGGUUGUAAACGGCUUUUAUCAGGGACGAAUACUGACGGUACCCGAAGAAUAAGGGGUUGCUAACUCUGUGCCAGCAGCCGCCGUAA
This 485-nucleotide ribosomal RNA is filed under the name uncultured bacterium. RNAcentral describes it as "partial 16S ribosomal RNA". It matches the Rfam family "Bacterial small subunit ribosomal RNA", at positions 29 to 523 of the family's 1533-position model. The record is from RNAcentral.